UUUAUUUUCACAUUUAAGAAAUUAAAUUUGAGAUAUUAUAUUUUCUUGAAUUCAUUUAAUUUUAUCUCACUUUUAUUGUAAUUUAAGUUGAUUGUUAAAUAAUAUAAAUAUAUAUUUAAUUAAUAAAAUAUUUUUCAGAAUUAAUUUUUAUAUUAUGCAUUAAAGUGAAUUGCCAAUUUUACCCUUAGAAAUUUAAUUAUCAAUUUAAUAUAUAUAUAUACACAUCAGUCUCUAUAUGUAUUAUAAGUGUAUAAAAUAUUACAAUGGGAAUUGUAGCAAUUUUUCUACACCUUUUAGGUACCUAACAGUAAUAAUUUUAAAAAGAAACAAAAUUGCAUUUUGGCCCCUCUCCCCUGCCUCUAUUCUCUCUCCCCCACAUACCGACGCCACGACCCCUUUCUUCUUUCCGUUCACCCAACUCUGGUCACCAUUCAUCACUAAAUUCCUACCACAACCCUUUCUUGGUGUCGCCAGCUCAGCCCACCAUCAGUUGCACCGAAAAUGGCCUUUUUCCAUGAGCAAAGAACUUGAAUAGUUAGUUUUCUCCCUCUAAUUGGCUACCACCUUCGAACCAACUGUUUCCUGACCUCAAAUGGGCAAUCAUACCCUAAUAAUGAGUUCCCCCUGUUGAGAAAACUUAGGACAGUGAAGCUCAGCCCCGAUUUCCUCCGUUUCACUGUUGAUCAAGCUUGCCGGCACCGAACUUCAAACGGCGAUCUAGAACUUUUGGCCACUUUUUGGCAAACACUUUUGUAUGAUUGCGGGCUUUCCAUUGGUGUGCUCGGAUUGAAUUUUCAUCACGAUCAAAAAUUUUCCGGCGACCAGGCCUGGUGACCUCGGGAUGUGUGCCGACAGAUAAAAUUUUGAUUUAUGUUUCUGACCGUUCAUGUGAUUGUUCCAUUUUAUUAGCUCGGUGAAAUGAAUUUCAAACUUAAACUUAUUUAUUUAUAUUUCAG
Molecule: long non-coding RNA, 956 nt
Filed under: Ricinus communis (castor bean)
Lineage: Eukaryota; Viridiplantae; Streptophyta; Magnoliopsida; Malpighiales; Euphorbiaceae
Description: long non-coding RNA (RCOM_LNC000295)
Source: RNAcentral